UCGUCACACUAUCAUUAACUGAAUCCAUAGGUUAAUGAGGCGAACCGGGGGAACUGAAACAUCUAAGUACCCCGAGGAAAAGAAAUCAACCGAGAUUCCCCCAGUAGCGGCGAGCGAACGGGGAGGAGCCCAGAGCCUGAAUCAGCAUGUGUGUUAGUGGAAGCGUCUGGAAAGGCGCGCGAUACAGGGUGACAGCCCCGUACACAAAAGCGCAUGUGCUGUGAGCUCGAUGAGUAGGGCGGGACACGUGGUAUCCUGUCUGAAUAUGGGGGGACCAUCCUCCAAGGCUAAAUACUCCUGACUGACCGAUAGUGAACCAGUACCGUGAGGGAAAGGCGAAAAGAACCCCGGCGAGGGGAGUGAAAAAGAACCUGAAACCGUGUACGUACAAGCAGUGGGAGCACCCUUUGGGUGUGACUGCGUACCUUUUGUAUAAUGGGUCAGCGACUUAUAUUCUGUAGCAAGGUUAACCGAAUAGGGGAGCCGGAGGGAAACCGAGUCUUAAUUGGGCGUUAAGUUGCAGGGUAUAGACCCGAAACCCGGUGAUCUAGCCAUGGGCAGGUUGAAGGUUGGGUAACACUAACUGGAGGACCGAACCGACUAAUGUUGAAAAAUUAGCGGAUGACCUGUGGCUGGGGGUGAAAGGCCAAUCAAACCGGGAGAUAGCUGGUUCUCCCCGAAAGCUAUUUAGGUAGCGCCUCGUGAAUUCAUCUCCGGGGGUAGAGCACUGUUUCGGCUAGGGGGCCAUCCCGGCUUACCAACCCGAUGCAAACUGCGAAUACCGGAGAAUGUUAUCACGGGAGACACACGGCGGGUGCUAACGUCCGUCGUGAAGAGGGAAACAACCCAGACCGCCAGCUAAGGUCCCAAAGUCAUGGUUAAGUGGGAAACGAUGUGGGAAGGCCCAGACAGCCAGGAUGUUGGCUUAGAAGCAGCCAUCAUUUAAAGAAAGCGUAAUAGCUCACUGGUCGAGUCGGCCUGCGCGGAAGAUGUAACGGGGCUAAACCAUGCACCGAAGCUGCGGCAGCGACGCUUAUGCGUUGUUGGGUAGGGGAGCGUUCUGUAAGCCUGCGAAGGUGGCCUGUGAGGGUUGCUGGAGGUAUCAGAAGUGCGAAUGCUGACAUAAGUAACGAUAAAGCGGGUGAAAAGCCCGCUCGCCGGAAGACCAAGGGUUCCUGUCCAACGUUAAUCGGGGCAGGGUGAGUCGACCCCUAAGGCGAGGCCGAAAGGCGUAGUCGAUGGGAAACGGGUUAAUAUUCCCGUACUUGGUGUUACUGCGAAGGGGGGACGGAGAAGGCUAUGUUGGCCGGGCGACGGUUGUCCCGGUUUAAGCGUGUAGGCUGGUUUUCCAGGCAAAUCCGGAAAAUCAAGGCUGAGGCGUGAUGACGAGGCACUACGGUGCUGAAGCAACAAAUGCCCUGCUUCCAGGAAAAGCCUCUAAGCAUCAGGUAACAUCAAAUCGUACCCCAAACCGACACAGGUGGUCAGGUAGAGAAUACCAAGGCGCUUGAGAGAACUCGGGUGAAGGAACUAGGCAAAAUGGUGCCGUAACUUCGGGAGAAGGCACGCUGACACGUAGGUGAAGUGAUUUACUCACGGAGCUGAAGUCAGUCGAAGAUACCAGCUGGCUGCAACUGUUUAUUAAAAACACAGCACUGUGCAAACACGAAAGUGGACGUAUACGGUGUGACGCCUGCCCGGUGCCGGAAGGUUAAUUGAUGGGGUCAGCGCAAGCGAAGCUCCUGAUCGAAGCCCCGGUAAACGGCGGCCGUAACUAUAACGGUCCUAAGGUAGCGAAAUUCCUUGUCGGGUAAGUUCCGACCUGCACGAAUGGCGUAAUGAUGGCCAGGCUGUCUCCACCCGAGACUCAGUGAAAUUGAACUCGCUGUGAAGAUGCAGUGUACCCGCGGCAAGACGGAAAGACCCCGUGAACCUUUACUAUAGCUUGACACUGAACAUUGAGCCUUGAUGUGUAGGAUAGGUGGGAGGCUUUGAAGUGUGGACGCCAGUCUGCAUGGAGCCGACCUUGAAAUACCACCCUUUAAUGUUUGAUGUUCUAACGUGGACCCGUUACCCGGGUUGCGGACAGUGUCUGGUGGGUAGUUUGACUGGGGCGGUCUCCUCCUAAAGAGUAACGGAGGAGCACGAAGGUUGGCUAAUCCUGGUCGGACAUCAGGAGGUUAGUGCAAUGGCAUAAGCCAGCUUGACUGCGAGCGUGACGGCGCGAGCAGGUGCGAAAGCAGGUCAUAGUGAUCCGGUGGUUCUGAAUGGAAGGGCCAUCGCUCAACGGAUAAAAGGUACUCCGGGGAUAACAGGCUGAUACCGCCCAAGAGUUCAUAUCGACGGCGGUGUUUGGCACCUCGAUGUCGGCUCAUCACAUCCUGGGGCUGAAGUAGGUCCCAAGGGUAUGGCUGUUCGCCAUUUAAAGUGGUACGCGAGCUGGGUUUAGAACGUCGUGAGACAGUUCGGUCCCUAUCUGCCGUGGGCGCUGGAGAACUGAGGGGGGCUGCUCCUAGUACGAGAGGACCGGAGUGGACGCAUCACUGGUGUUCGGGUUGUCAUGCCAAUGGCACUGCCCGGUAGCUAAAUGCGGAAGAGAUAAGUGCUGAAAGCAUCUAAGCACGAAACUUGCCCCGAG
RNAcentral lists this ribosomal RNA (2638 nucleotides) under Salmonella enterica subsp. enterica serovar Enteritidis. Its description in RNAcentral is "partial 23S ribosomal RNA". It matches the Rfam family "Bacterial large subunit ribosomal RNA". The record is from RNAcentral. Lineage: Bacteria; Pseudomonadati; Pseudomonadota; Gammaproteobacteria; Enterobacterales; Enterobacteriaceae.